RNAcentral lists this unclassified non-coding RNA (239 nucleotides) under Hevea brasiliensis (rubber tree). Lineage: Eukaryota; Viridiplantae; Streptophyta; Magnoliopsida; Malpighiales; Euphorbiaceae. The record is from RNAcentral.
CACUCAACUAAGGAUCAACAGUGGGAAGUUUACAGAUUUCUCUUGGAUGAAAAUUGUAGAGUUCCAUUAGCAAGUGCUAGAGGCAGAAAAGAAAUAGUGGACAGAGUGAGACGGACAUUGAUGGGCUGGUAAGAUAAUCUCUGCAUCCGAACACUGCUGGUGAGAAUCAUGGUUUGCUGUCUUAGAAUUACUCUCAAGCUGGACAUCUCAGCAUUGCAGGGGGAUUCUCCAACAUCUUU